UACAGAUUCAUGCCUCUUACGCUGUUUUAAUUCACUGGCCAGCCUGCAUAUCUACAAACAUGUUGAUUAGGAGGAAAUAUUUUAUAAUAUCCUAAAACAAAUUCACAUACUGAAUAAUUCAUGCUAAGAUGUGCCAAAAUCAGAAGUUAUAAACAUGAUUGCUAAUACACAGCACUUAUCAAAAUAUGCAUACACAAUGUUAUGUCUUUAUAAAUCUUAACCAAAUAGAUUUAAUAAUCUCACUUGUGGAACUGCUCAUCGGCUAUCCCUAAAAUAUUUCCUAAACCUCAAAUUGACUCAAGCAACAAAACAGGGAGAUGAAACAUGGUAGAAUUCCUCCUCCCCCACCCACGUGACACACACACAACCAGCAGAUUUUGGGAUUUGGAUUUAGUGAAUUAAGAAUGUGGAUCACAUUUACGCAAUUCUGAUCUGGAAACAGAUACGGCAUAGAUUUUGAAAUGCUUAGAAAGGGAUUUUGCUUUGUGCUUGCACGUAGAAAAUCUCCUCAUUUGCCAUUCAAGUAGUAAUAUUUAGCUUUUAUUUAUUCCGUUGUGACUCUUGCUGCUAAGCAGCUGGAUUUUGUUUUCACAGUGAAGAACAAGCCUGUUUAGAUGAGAACACAGACUUCAAAAUAUAAAAGAUUCUCCUUGCAGCAGUGAUUCUGCAGCCCUGCCCAGUGGCAGUACCUUGGUGUCACAAUAAUUUAUCAUAUGCAGAACAGGGCAGUAUGAAUCCGACUUGCUUAAGUGCUUCAGUGGCCUUAAUUCACAGGCAGAAUACAGGACAGGGCACAACAAUUGCAAAGGGCACUACAAAUCCAUGUUUAUACAAUGCACCAAGCAUUUUUUUCUGGAGUUCCUGAAUAGAUAAGAGAAAAGAAACAGAAAAACAGGGCUCAGACCACAAUGUUUCUAUAGUGGGAACUGGGUAAAUCCCUUCUUGUUCUUGAGGCACAUUUGAGCUUGUCUCCCUCAAACCUGUAUUUGUACUCUUUCUUAUCUAAAAUGAGAAAAGGAGCAUUGAUUCAAGGCUCAAUCAUUUAUCUAAAUAGAAUGAACUAAAAUUUACAUUUUAAUUAAAUAUUAAUUAUCCCCAAGCAAACAAUAUUAAAAUAUAAUUUUAUUUUGUUUUUCUAUGUCCACUUGAAUGGUCGUUCUAUUAUUAAGUCAUUGUUUUUUUUUGUUGUUUGUUUUGUUUUCUGUGAAUUUGUUAUUCUGUUAUGGAACAUUCAGAAUGCAAUUCCUUCAACAGGAUACAGAAGAUACAGCAAUACUCAUCUAUCAUAUGCCAAAGUAGAAUACUGUGCAAAAAAUACAUGUUCUUUUUUAUUAUUUUUAAACACUAUGCACUCCUAAAACUUUUAAUCUUAGGAUCUUGAAGAGUUGCAAAAAAUCAAGAGCCAGGAUGUCACGUUAGGAAUAACUAUACAGUCUUUACAUUAAGCAUACAGUACAGUAGUGUCUAUAGGGCAGGGACAAGUCAUGCUUAGGUACAGUAAAAACAUUCAGUAGUCCCUAACGUGAAGAGUUCACGGUUUAACACUGUGGACCUACUCUAAACAAUCAGCUGCAGCUCCCUAACAGACCUGACCAAAGCAGGGCCCAUAGGAGCAGUGAUGGCUGUAAGAUUUAUGGCAGUACAGGGGAUGCUCUCUUUCCAUACAGCUGAAAAACACACCUCUCCUUUGUACAGACACAGAUCAUACUACACUACGAGGGAGUGCUGGCACCAUUUUACAUGUCUUUGCUAUUAUUCAAGCAGUCUGAAUGCUGCUGCCUGCUGCUCCCUUUCUCAGUUCCAGGACUGGGAAAGGAGUGUUCCUUCCCACCAGCUCUAUCCGUGGAGAAGAAUCAUAAUAGAUCUACAAUCCAGAUUUUAUGACUCUAAGUCCAGGCAGCAUUGAAUGGCAAGAAAUUAUACAAUUGAGAGUAUAUUUUAUAUCUGUAGAAAAUAAGAUAAUUUCAUUUCAUAGGAAAGUGUGAGGGACCUAUGCUUGGCACCCAGAGCAAGUAAGCACAGCUAUAGCUUUUUGAUGACAGCUGGAAAAGCUGCAGUGGGUAAUGCAGAACUGGCUCUUCCUGAGGAUCCUGAGGAUCCUCUUUUAUAAUCAAAUGUAACAUAAGAAAAUUUUGAUAUUGCAUUUCCAAGCUUCAGAAAAGGAGGGAAACCAUGUAAAUGGUUUCUUACCCAUGCCAAACACAAACAAUCCCCCUUUAAGGCAUAAACAAACAAACAAAC
Long non-coding RNA from Gallus gallus (chicken), 2241 nucleotides. The record is from Ensembl. Lineage: Eukaryota; Metazoa; Chordata; Aves; Galliformes; Phasianidae.